ACGAGAGAUGUGAACCAUCAAACCGGCUGUUCCUCUUUGGAGUUCUUGCUUCUCCAUCACAUCCCGUCCCAUUACAGUCACAUCAGCACAUUUAUCAGAAGAUGCCUUAAACAAAACGUAUGCUGUGAUAGAAGAUAAACUUUUUAUGGCUGUACAGAAUUAACCCGCCUUCCUCUUUAAAUCCAACUUCUCGUUUGCUGCAUUUUACUUCUCAGCUCCAGCUUCCUCCUUGGAAACACCUUCAAUAUUCCUGUGGCGGCAGCCCUGUUUGCCAAUUAAUGAAACGAAGCUCUUAAAAACAGAUACUGCCAUGUGGGAAGUCUUCUUUUAGUUUGAAGAAUAAAGCAGUGUGCUGAGUUCAUGUACUUGUAGAAUUCAUUUGCCCACUAGAGGUCAGUAUCCACAUGUCUGUACGUCAGUUGAGGUCUUCAGCUGACGUCCUGAGGGACUGGCAGUGAGUGCAACACCAGAUCUGCAGGUCUUAAAUCACAAGGAUUACAAACAGUGAAGGGGAGUUAGGUCAUGGUGUCAUAGUGCUUGUUGUCUUAACAGUGCCAGAGACUGAAGUAUUUAUUCAGUGUUUUGGGUUUUUAAAGAGCAGUUACAUUGUAUGGAGAGGUGGAUGUUAUUGAUAAGGAAGAGAAAUGAUACGCCUUGAAAAAAUUAGCUUUCAGCCCAGCAGCAGAAGUUUAAAGGGACUUUUUUGGAGACUAAGCAAAGAAUAUCUCCCUCAAAAGGACAGCAGCAAAUGAAAUCUUAAUCUUCAUGAACAGGGCCUGGGUCAAACCCACACUAAGACAAGCACAGGAAGACAACAAAUCAUGAUAGAUAGACAAGAGUCUCAUGAGCCAAUGAGCAGAGACAUGAAGGCUAACCUGCUGCCAACUUGGCUUGUCUUAGAAGCAGGGAGAGAGCAGAAGAUGUUGACAUUUUGGCAGGGGAGGGAAGCUGCUGUUCCAUCUGCAUCUGAAAGGUCACUGCGGUGGGUUUUGGUGCACAGUAUGUGUGUGAUUGUGUGUGUGUGCGCGCACUAGUGCCUGCCAAAAGCAAUGUGUUUAAUGCAUGUGUCUUUCUCAUCAGUUCUGUGAGAAAAGAGCAGAGGAGAGCUAUAAACAAAGAUGCUGGAAGUGUUGGGCAUAGCAUAAACAGAGUAGUAGGAAUCCACCCCCCCGGCCCCUUAUACACACACACACACACACUUACAUCUAUACACACACAUUGUUGCUUUGAAUGUGUUCAUAGAAACUAAAGGAAUGUCCGAGCAAUGAUUAGACAUUUUCAUUUAAAGUAAUAAGUUAAAUAAAGUUAUUCAAGAUCAGUUUAAUCUUGUUUGUGUUUGGCGUAGCAUAACGCAGACCCUUGCAACAAUUUCCUGUUGGCCUUCAAGCAGCUUUAUUCGUAUUUUCGUUGUUUUUUCCACUUGGAGUCAACAGAAACAAGUUGUAAACACAAGAGGCUAGUGUUGUUGUUGUGACGGUGUUAGCAAAGAUUUGCCUAUUUACACAUCCAGCAGCCACAAGGCCACAUUAUCAUUCAUCAGGCAGGUCAAAUAAUAAUUUUCCUUUUAACUUUGGUCUCUAACAGUACCUGCCAGAAAUAUCUGCUUCUUUAGCUGCUAAAUGCUCCACUAUAGUCAGCAGCCGGUUGCUGACUUUGUCUGUUUGCCGUUUGAUGCUAGGCGUGAAGCAUGCGGCAGAUUUAGAGAAUUUUAUGCUGAAAACAGGCGCCUGUUGUGGCUGAAUAAUGAAUGAUGCUGAUGGAAGCAGUGAGAGUGAACCAAACAGUAAAUUUAGGGGCUGUAAAAAUAAAAUAGAGCACUGAAAGAUGUUAAAAUGCUCCACACAGCUGAAGAGAACUGCAGGGUUGAUGAUUUUCUCUUGUUUCAUCAUUACGAGUGACUUCUUUCACAUUGCACAGAGUCAUUUUAUCCAUUAUUAACACAGAAGUAUUGAUGGGUUCCAAGACAUCGGAAUAAGGGUACAUUUUAUCAGUGAUAAGAUGGCUCCCACAGCCGCUGACUACCUAAUGGCUGAAGUAAUGAACAGAAGCAUAUUUGGACAAUGUGACCAGAGAAGGUGGCUUUUUGCUUUUGGAGACAUUUGUGCUGGCCAUGAAAAACAAACAUAGUUGUGAGGGCAACUGGUGGUUAUUUGUGUCAAAUGACAGGAAGUAUUUCAAAUCUCAUAAGCACAAACCUGCUGCAAGGAAAUUCAAACUAAUGUAUUUCAACUGUCACCUCUGCGAAAUAUUUCCUGUGUGCCUGUGGAUGUUGACAAGAAGCUUUGGCAGUUUAUCGUUUGUUGUGGAAGCAGCUGCAAGGGGUUAUGGCCAAAAUAUGUUCAGUCAUAGUAGCAAUUGCACUGGUGUCUUGUCAAAUGAGUACUUCACUGCCUGGUAGUUACACGGUGCUCAUGAUCCAGACCAAAUGCAGAGCUGCAGAUUCAUAAAGACCAACACACACAGAUUCCAUCCUGGUCAUAUAACCACACGACCAGCUGUUCACUGUCUCAGAGAUAACACACGAGUAAUGAGAGCUUAGCUAAUUGUGUCAGCACGUUUUAUAGAUUUGUAAAAGGCAAAGAUAUCCUGAGAGGAGUAUGUGGGGUGUGUGGAGAGCUAAGAGUUUUAGCCAGACUAUGCAUUCUUGGCGUUAUGUCAAGCUCUUUCAAGCAGGGUGUGAGAUGUGCUCUUCAUGAUGUUUAUGGAUGAGAUAUUGAGAUGCCAGAAACGUCUGGAAAUUGUCCAGCUGAGUGACAUUAUAGUGGCAUCUCUGUUGUUUGCAGAUGACACUGUCCUUGUGGUCUCUCUGGAACAUUACCAUAGCUGUUUCCAAACAUGAGACUGAAUUAAGAGUCACCGGUUCUUCUCUUUACCAAGAUGAGCGAGUAUUGGUAAAUAGCAUUUUCAGUGUAUUAAUUGUUAUCUGAGGAGUGAAUACGGUGGCAGUGUAGAACAGUGUGUGCACACAGCUGUUCAGCUGCAUACAAUCUGCAUGUGUCUACAUGCAAACACAUACCUUUGUGAACAUCCAGAGAGUUUUUUAGUGUCUUUGGUGGUGUGCAGUCUGCUAUAUGGCGGAACAUGAGCGUGUGAAUUCUUUUUGGAUACACUGUAUGUCUGACUUACCCUUUAGAAACCGGGAUCAAAGCUGUAGGACUGCUUCUGCUGCACACUGUCCAAGACUACUACAGAUAUCUCCAAAUUUAGAUUUUCUGCUCUUUGUAUCACCAACUCUGCAGUACGCAGUUUAGUUGCAGUGGCAAUGCAGGAUAUAAUAUGACGUUUAUAGAACGCAGCAAACAUCACACCUGGGAGGCCUGUGACAUGAGAGACCCAGCAGUUGAUUUUGGAUGUUUUUUUAACCAUAAUAACAGUCUAUCUUUUAUACAUGAAAACAACAGAUCAAAAAAUACCUGCCACUUUCACACUGUUUUAUUGUCAACCACAUACAGAAACUCUCACACAUGUGCUUUGUUUGUUUUCAUUCAUCAUGGUUUGACCUGGUUCACAUGUAAAAUCUUACAUUUCUUUUUGUCUUUGUUAAGGGAUAUUGAAUUACAUCAUCUUCAAGUGAUUAUGAGUCACCUCAAAUUUUGCUCUUUUAAAAGACUGCAUCAUGUUAAUAAAAAAAAAAAGCUCUAAUUAUAAACUAUAAUUAAUUUAAUGCAGCAUAUUUUUUCAAAAUGAAAAUAAAAAUAUGCUGGUUUAAAACUCAAUGAUGGGAAAAAUAGUAAUACUUUUUCUUAUUUUCUCCACUCUUCUGACUGAAAUCUGUAGCCUGAUGUGCAGGCUCAGUUCUGCAUUCGAUUUGUCAGUCUGUUUGUCUGUCACUCUGUCAGUACAAGAUUAAAGACAUUCCUUCCAAAUGGCAUCCUGGUCCUAUGACUUGCAACUGGUAUGUACUCUUUGCAUGUGCACUAAUGUGUGUGUCAAGACAGAAUUGUGUGCCGAGGCCACCGAUGGCAUGGUAAUAAAAAACAUAUUUGCAUGAUACUCCCUGUGCAUGCAUGUAAGACUGUGCAUAUGGAAGUACUUUGUUUGCCGGUGUGCAUGCCACUUCUAUCAUAUGUUCAAGGUGCAUGUGUGAAUUGGCGUUAAUGUCCAAUUCCCUGCGAGAGGUUGACAUAUUUGCAUGCGAGAGUGUAAACGCGUGUGUGUUUGUGAGCUACUGGUUGAGGCAGGGGCCAAGGUCUUAUGAGAAGAGUGCUGUGCGUGUUUGCAUGUGGGAAGAGGGGAAUAAACGUGUUAGUGAAUUGGAUGCUAAAUGAGGAGUGGACGAGGUGGGCAGGAAGCGUGUGUGUGUGUGUGUGCGUGUGUUUACAUGUGUGAACUGCUGUCCUAAUGAAAUGUGAAAGCCCUCCGAGUCACCUCUGCCCUUCCCCCACUGUACUGAAUGCCGUCUCCCUGUCUCUCUCUCUCUCUCUCACGCACACACACACAGGUCCAUUCUCUCUUAUUCCCACUUUCACACUCAUAAACAGACAUGCGUGCGCGGCUCGUGUUAACAUGGAAAGCGUUAGCGUGGAAAGAGGUCUUCUCUCUGUCUUCCCUAUCCUGUGAGGCGAGACUCUCCCUCAGCAUGCUGAGAGUACAGCUGGCAGUCAGGGAGCCUCCAGACACACACUCACACACACAUGCAUGCAGACAGAGGCACGCUAGGCAGUAGGUCAUGAAGCCGCUGGCAUGAAGGAUAGACGGGUCUGACACCAGAAAAGCAGACAGCCUGGCUGACAUGCACUGGAGAGCAUUAUCAGGAUAACAAUAGCGUGUUUGACUGUAACUCUUUCUGUGUGUGUGUGUGUGUGUGUGUGUGUGUGCAAAUGUUUAGAUAACAGCAUGCUCCAUAUUAUGUAGCCUAUGUGUGAAAGGAUAAAAAAACAAGCAUUAAAAGUCCUCCUUGCUGCUGGUUGUGUAAGAAAAUGUCAAUUUAACAUUCCUGCACUGGUUUACAGCAACUCCGGUCAAACUCUUUCUAUAAGAUAGCUUUCUGUUCACCAGUGCUUGUCUAAAUUCUUAAACUAAAAUGUAUUUUUUAAGAAUACAAAGAAGCAAGCAAAAAAAGCUAAAUUGUCCAAGUGUGUUCGCUUAACUGAAAAAUAAGGAUAUUUCAGACUAAAAUAACAUCUAGGAUAAACUACACCGCAAUAGAGGAACAACACUUUUUCUGACGACUGUGAAUUUUUAUCUCAGACGUGCAGCUUCACCCUCAGUCUUUUAACAUCAUUUAGCCGCAAGUGCAUAUUUAAAACUCCUUUUAAAGGGUCUUUGUGUUAAUCUGAAACAUUAAAAAUCAACUAACUCGAGAAACUGGCAUUUUAAUUAGCUUGGACAGAUAACAAUCUGCUUAUCUGGUUUGUCAUUUUAGGUUGACAGUCACCAGCUGGAAAUGAGAAGCUGCUUUUGUCCACCUCUAACUGAAAUCAAGGCUACUUUGUUUUCAGUAUUACUAAGCAUUAGACUGCAAAUCUGCCCCGCUUUCCAGUCCCAGUCGCAUACUUCGAGAGACUGGAAAGUUUGGCAGGCAUAGCAAUAGUAACUACACUUAGCAAACUAUCAAAAAAAAAAAAAAACACUCUUAAGCCACAUUUGCUCAAUAAGCAAA
This is a long non-coding RNA of Scatophagus argus, 5602 nucleotides long. RefSeq lists it as uncharacterized. The record is from RefSeq and is a predicted model, not a curated record. The transcript is spliced from 3 exons. Lineage: Eukaryota; Metazoa; Chordata; Actinopteri; Scatophagidae.